GAUGAACGCUGGCGGCGUGCCUAAUACAUGCAAGUCGAGCGAACAGACGAGGAGCUUGCUCCUCUGACGUUAGCGGCGGACGGGUGAGUAACACGUGGAUAACCUACCUAUAAGACUGGGAUAACUUCGGGAAACCGGAGCUAAUACCGGAUAAUAUAUUGAACCGCAUGGUUCAAUAGUGAAAGACGGUUUUGCUGUCACUUAUAGAUGGAUCCGCACCGCAUUAGCUAGUUGGUAAGGUAACGGCUUACCAAGGCAACGAUGCGUAGCCGACCUGAGAGGGUGAUCGGCCACACUGGAACUGAGACACGGUCCAGACUCCUACGGGAGGCAGCAGUAGGGAAUCUUCCGCAAUGGGCGAAAGCCUGACGGUGCAACGCCGCGUGAGUGAUGAAGGUCUUCGGAUCGUAAAACUCUGUUAUUAGGGAAGAACAAAUGUGUAAGUAACUAUGCACGUCUUGACGGUACCUAAUCAGAAAGCCACGGCUAACUACGUG
This 497-nucleotide ribosomal RNA is filed under the name uncultured bacterium. RNAcentral's name for it is "partial 16S ribosomal RNA". It matches the Rfam family "Bacterial small subunit ribosomal RNA", at positions 28 to 507 of the family's 1533-position model. The record is from RNAcentral.